AGUGAACGCUGGCGGCAGGCCUAAUACAUGCAAGUCGAACGGCAGCACAGCAGAGCUUGCUCUGUGGGUGGCGAGUGGCGGACGGGUGAGGAAUACAUGGGAAUCUGCCCAGUCGUGGGGGAUAACGUAUGGAAACGUACGCUAAUACCGCAUGCGCCCUACGGGGGAAAGUCGGGGACCGCAAGGCCUGACGCGAUUGGAUGAGCCCAUGUUCGAUUAGCUAGUUGGCGGGGUAAAGGCCCACCAAGGCGACGAUCGAUAGCUGGUCUGAGAGGAUGAUCAGCCACACUGGAACUGAGACACGGUCCAGACUCCUACGGGAGCAGCAGUAGGGAAUAUUGGACAAUGGGCGCAAGCCUGAUCCAGCCAUGCUGCGUGAGUGAAGAAGGCCCUCGGGUUGUAAAGCUCUUUUGUUGGGGAAGAAAGCAGCUGGUUAAUACCCGAUUGUUCUGACGGUACCCAAAGAAUAAGCACCGGCUAAC
Molecule: ribosomal RNA, 482 nt
Filed under: uncultured bacterium
Lineage: Bacteria
Description: bacterial SSU rRNA
Rfam family: Bacterial small subunit ribosomal RNA
Source: RNAcentral